GUGGGGAAUAUUGGACAAUGGGCGCAAGCCUGAUCCAGCCAUGCCGCGUGAGUGAUGAAGGCCUUAGGGUUGUAAAGCUCUUUCAGUAGGGAAGAUAAUGACGGUACCUACAGAAGAAGCCCCGGCUAACUUCGUGCCAGCAGCCGCGGUAAUACGAAGGGGGCUAGCGUUGUUCGGAUUUACUGGGCGUAAAGCGCACGUAGGCGGUUUGUUAAGUCAGGGGUGAAAUCCCGGAGCUCAACUCCGGAACUGCCUUUGAUACUGGCAAGCUAGAGUCCGGAAGAGGUAAGUGGAACUCCUAGUGUAGAGGUGGAAUUCGUAGAUAUUAGGAAGAACACCAGUGGCGAAGGCGGCUUACUGGUCCGGAACUGACGCUGAGGUGCGAAAGCGUGGGGAGCAAACAGGAUUAGAUACCCUUGUAGUCC
Molecule: ribosomal RNA, 425 nt
Filed under: uncultured bacterium
Lineage: Bacteria
Description: partial 16S ribosomal RNA
Rfam family: Bacterial small subunit ribosomal RNA
Source: RNAcentral